This 85-nucleotide transfer RNA is filed under the name Felis catus (domestic cat). It matches the Rfam family "tRNA". From Rfam's summary of the family: Transfer RNA (tRNA) molecules are approximately 80 nucleotides in length. Lineage: Eukaryota; Metazoa; Chordata; Mammalia; Carnivora; Felidae. The record is from Rfam by way of RNAcentral.
ACCUGGGUGGCUCAGUCAGUUGAGCGUCUGACUUCGGCUCAGGUCAUGAUCUCGUGGUUUGUGGGUUCGAGCCCCAUGUCGGGCU